Molecule: ribosomal RNA, 450 nt
Filed under: uncultured bacterium
Lineage: Bacteria
Description: partial 16S ribosomal RNA
Rfam family: Bacterial small subunit ribosomal RNA
Source: RNAcentral
GUGGGGAAUCUUCCACAAUGGACGAAAGUCUGAUGGAGCAACGCCGCGUGAGUGAAGAAGGGUUUCGGCUCGUAAAGCUCUGUUGUUUGGGACGAAAGUGCCUGUUGCGAACAGUUACGGGUAUUGACGGUACUAAACGAGGAAGCCACGGCUAACUACGUGCCAGCAGCCGCGGUAAUACGUAGGUGGCAAGCGUUGUCCGGAAUUAUUGGGCGUAAAGAGCAUGUAGGCGGGAAUCUAAGUCUGUUGUUAAAAUGCGGGGCUCAACCCCGUAUUGCGAUGGAAACUGGGUUUCGUGAGUGCAGGAGAGGAAAGGGGAAGUCCCAGUGUAGCGGUGAAAUGCGUAGAUAUUGGGAGGAACACCAGUGGCGAAGGCGCCUUUCUGGACUGUGUCUGACGCUGAGAUGCGAAAACCAGGGUAGCGAACGGGAUUAGAAACCCUGGUAGUCC